Molecule: ribosomal RNA, 1011 nt
Filed under: uncultured Fibrobacter sp.
Lineage: Bacteria; Pseudomonadati; Fibrobacterota; Fibrobacteria; Fibrobacterales; Fibrobacteraceae
Description: bacterial SSU rRNA
Rfam family: Bacterial small subunit ribosomal RNA
Source: RNAcentral
AGAGUUUGAUCCUGGCUCAGAACGAACGCUGGCGGCGCGUCUUAAGCAUGCAAGUCGAACGGGAUUCAGUAGCUUGCUACUGAUGAGAGUGGCGGACUGGUGAGUAACACGUAGGUGACAUGCCUUUUGGUUGGGGAUAGCCUGUGGAAACACAGGGUAAUACCGAAUAAUAUCGCGGGUUCUGGCCCGCGAUGAAAGGAGCUUCGGCUCCGCCGACAGAUUGGCCUGCGGCCCAUCAGCUAGUAGGUGAGGUAAAGGCCCACCUAGGCAAUGACGGGUAUCCGGCCUGAGAGGGUGAUCGGACACAUUGGGACUGAGAUACGGCCCAGACUCCUACGGGAGGCAGCAGCUAAGAAUAUUCCGCAAUGGGCGAAAGCCUGACGGAGCGACGCCGCGUGGAUGAUGAAGGCCGUGAGGUUGUAAAAUCCUUUUGUGAGUGAGGAAUAAGCGGGCCAGGGAAUGGGCCCGUGGUGACUGUAGCUCACGAAUAAGCACCGGCUAAUUACGUGCCAGCAGCCGCGGUAACACGUAAGGUGCAAGCGUUGUUCGGAAUUAUUGGGCGUAAAGGGCAUGCAGGCGGUCUGGUAAGUUAGGCGUGAAAUCCCGGGGCUCAACCCCGGAACUGCGCUUGAUACUGCUGGACUAGAGUCAGUGAGGGGAGACUAGAAUUCCAGGUGUAGGGGUGAAAUCUGCAGAUAUCUGGAAGAAUACCGGUGGCGAAGGCAGGUCUCUAGCACAUGACUGACGCUCAUAUGCGAAGGUGCGGGGAGCAAACAGGAUUAGAUACCCUGGUAGUCCGCACAGUAAACUAUGCACACUUGGUGUCUGCGCUUGAGCGUGGGUGCCGUAGCUAACGCUUUAAGUGUGCCGCCUGGGGAGUAUGCCCGCAAGGGUGAAACUCAAAGGAAUUGACGGGGGCCCGCAAAAGCGGUGGAUUAUGUUGUUUAAUUCGAUGAUACGCGAGGAACCUUACCUGGGUUUGACAUACAGGGGAAUGCGUUGGAGACAACG